GCAAGACGCGAAAAUUGUUAUCAUCCUAUUCUCUAAGAGAUUUUAUUUUGGCCACUUUAAAGUGGCCAUUUU
This 72-nucleotide small RNA is filed under the name Arsenophonus nasoniae (son-killer infecting Nasonia vitripennis). RNAcentral's name for it is "MicA sRNA". It matches the Rfam family "MicA sRNA". Lineage: Bacteria; Pseudomonadati; Pseudomonadota; Gammaproteobacteria; Enterobacterales; Morganellaceae. The record is from Rfam by way of RNAcentral.